This 8939-nucleotide unclassified non-coding RNA is filed under the name Mizuhopecten yessoensis (Yesso scallop). Its description in RNAcentral is "cation-independent mannose-6-phosphate receptor-like, transcript variant X1". Lineage: Eukaryota; Metazoa; Mollusca; Bivalvia; Pectinida; Pectinidae. The record is from RNAcentral.
ACACCAUCAUGGCGGCGGCCAUAUCAAGGAAGAAAACAAAUGCCAUGUUUUGUUUACGUUACGUAUUUUCAAUUAGUUUCUUGCUGGCAAUAAGUCUGCAUGGGGGAUAUUGUGAUCAAACACCACAAGACUGUGUUUUUGGUGGCUCAGACUUCUCUUUGAUCAAGCAGUUUAAUCCCUGGCCAAUGUUAUCCGAGGAUGGGAACACAACCUAUCAGAUCAGUCUUUGUGAGGCAAUCAAACCGCAUCAAGGUGGAGAUUGUCACGACCAGACUUCUAUCUGUAGGACAGUCAAGGGGGAAUCGCCAAAGUCUUCGGGCAACUUUACACACAUGGCAGCUGCUGAUAACACUCAAGUCUCUGAACAAACACUUGUCUUUCAAGGGGAUGCAUGUCCUGAUGUAGUCGAUGGCCAUUAUGUUACAAUGAUCACCUUCCAGUGCAGUUUAAAUGUGGGCCUAGGUUCACCUGAAUUCCUGGUGUACUCGCUGUGUACAACGUAUGUGCUGUGGCGCACAAAUGUGGUUUGUAACGACACCGAGCGGGCUGUGAAGGAGGUCCCUUGUUAUGUGUAUGACCAUCUCAACCAGAAACACAACCUUGCACCGCUCACAAAGAAAGACGGUGGCUACCUGGUGUCGUCCGAGGCAGGCUGGAACUUUUAUAUCAAUGUGUGUAAAGACAUUAAAGGAAUUACAGAAAUUCCUGGCGGAGACCCAGAUGAAAAGACAAAGAUGUGCCCACCAGGGGCUGGUGCCUGUCAGAUCAAUACACGUGGUUCAGGAACAGCAUUAGGGAUGGGAGACCCUAAAGACAAGCUUCAGGUUGCCACUGGAGAAAACAAAUUCCUGUUACGCUACACUACUGAUGAGACUGUUAAUGGCUGUACUGCGAAACCUUCCACCAGUAUAGAGUUCCGGUGUCCCAGUGUGGGUGGGGGGAAAGAUCCUGUCAUGGUGGCUGAUUUCAACUGUCAGUUCCGCAUCGUGUGGGAAACGGAACAUGCUUGUGCGGAAGUUGACAUCACAAACAAAACUUGUCGUCUUGUCAAGGAAUCUGAAAACAUUGACAUAGAUCUUUCACCUCUCAGGGUUUACCGUGCAGACCGUAAAUACCAGGUAACAGUGCCCCCUAGCACUAAAGGUGGCGACUACUACAUAUACUACCUCAACGUAUGUGGGGAGCUGGGAAUCCAGUGUCCGGACAUGAACCACGUCCAAAACGUGGCAGCGUGUCAGACCAAGUCUGGUGACUCGGAUUACGGCCGUGUCAUUGGGUCAGUUGGCAAUGGUGACCAGAGACUAAGGUACGCUGAUGGAGAUCUUACCUUGACCUACCGAGGAGGCGAUAUUUGCCACAAGAACAAUCCACGAACAACUAUUAUCAACUUUAAAUGUGACCCCAAUACAGCUGUUAACAUGGGUAAAGGUUACCCAACAUUUGUGAAGGAGGUCAACGACAGCUGUAUCUACAUGUUUGAUUGGGCUACCAAGUACGCAUGUUCGGGUCAUCCAGCUAAUGAAGAGUGUCGAGUUGACUACAAUGGCAAACGCUACGACCUUUCACCCCUUACACGACGCCAUGGACACGAAACUGAUUGGGAGGUGUUACACAGUGACGGGACAGACGCUGGGAAACAAUUCUACCUUAAUGUGUGUAACGACUUACUGAACACAGGCGGUGCUGCUAGCUGUCACCCGGACGCUUCCGUCUGUCUUAUAGAUCAUAAUGGCCCCCAUAAUCUGGGUUCAUUCAUCGAGAAUCCUGUAUUCUCCAAGGAGACAAAUGCCCUACAAAUCACCUACGGUAACGGGGAACCAUGUGGGGACAAGAAACGCACACGCUCCAUUAUAGACUUCAUCUGUAAGCCAGGAGACCUGGAGAGUGGCCCUGUUCUCAUGGAUACCUCUCUUGACAGCUGUCUGUACAGGUUUGAGUGGCAUACCUCCGCUGCAUGUGUACUGGGACAUUGGAGGGGAGACAACUGUCAUGUAUUUGACAAGGAAGCAGGAUUCAACUUUGACCUUUCACCUCUGACCUUGAAGGAAGGAUCAUAUUCUGUCACGGAUACAAACAAGACUUAUGAAUAUCAUAUCAAUGUGUGUGAUGCUGUCCAUAACACUUCGUGUGACACAAGUAAAAGUACUCCUCCGAAUGCCGGAGUUUGUCAGACAAAGAGCGGUGACCAUGCAAUCAAUACAGGAACUGCUUCCAGCAUUCUGGAGUACUACGAUGGUAUGAUAAACCUAACAUACACAAAUGGACAGGUGUACAACAGCCAUCCUCCAGUUCCACGGAAGACAGAGAUUGUGUUCCUAUGUGACACAAGUGCUGGCAAAGGCAAGCCCUCGUUUAUUUCAGAGAGUUCCUGGGGAUACAGUUUUGAGUGGUACACAGCCUAUGCUUGUCCGAAUGAGCCAGUCGAAUGUACGGUCACAGACCCAGCACGCAAGCAACAGUAUGAUCUGUCUAGCUUAUCCAAGUCAGUGAGUCAGGACAACUGGGAGUUAUUGGACGACAGUGACCCCAAAAACAAGCUCAAGUACUACAUCAAUGUGUGUCGUCCACUCAGCGAGGUACACGUAGGCAAGGGCUGCUCAACCUUUGGGUCAGCAUGUCGCACAUCCUACAAAACUGGACAGGAGGCUGUGGACAUAGCAGAUUUAGGAAGUGUGGUGUCGCCACCGGUCGUGGAGAGGGAGGGUCAGCUGUCACUCAAAUACCGUACCAAAGACAAGAUCUGUGACGACAUUAAUGGCAAUGGCAAGACGACUAUCACCACAUCCAUACAUUUCAUCUGUAGUCGAGGCGCUAUGGUGACUGGGCCAAGCACUGUGACAAAGUUAGGUAACUGUGAUUAUGUAUACAUGUGGGCCACAGAGGCUGCCUGUCCUCUAGAGAUGACAGAAGCAACCACCAACUGUUCUGUCAAGGACCGUAACUCUGAUUAUGUCUUCAACCUUGGCCUCCUCACCAGAAAGAGUGAUACUGACUACUAUGACGUCAAGGACGGAGCCUAUCAAUUCAGAAUCAACAUCUGCGGAGUCAUGUCACCGACUCAUUGUCCUCAUGUGGAGGGUAAGGCUAUGUCCUUAUGUCGUCUGCUCCCCAACUCCUCCACCGAGGGCCUCAGCUUCCUCAAAUACACCCUCGACUAUGAUGACGAUGGCAAACUGAUGCUGAAAUAUGAAGGCAAACGACUGGACAGUGGGAUAAGGAUAGAGGUCAGGGUUCUGUUCCUCUGCCGACAAAAUGUGGAUAUUGGUGAGCCUAAGUUUGACCGAGUGGACGAGGGAUACAAGUACAUAUUUACAUUUGAGACAUCACUAGCGUGUAAACCUGACCCAAUAGAUUGCUUGGCUGAAGAUAUCCAUGGAAACCGUUUUGACCUGAGUCCGCUGGCACGUGGUGCCGGCGACACAAACUGGCAGGUGACAGACACUCAUAGUGACCAUAAAAAUACCUAUCACAUCAAUGUUUGUCGACCAAUCAACACAGCCGGUACCUCCUGCCAAGGUGGACCAAUCGGAGGGUGUGGGGUGUCCAGCAUUGGCGAUAGCUUCAACAUGGGCUACAUACAUUCUCAACCCAUCGCAGCCGAGGACGGGACCGUCACACUUCACUAUCGCAACGGAGACAUCUGUAACAAAAACAAAACCAAUGAAUCCCGAUACAGUACAAGGAUUCUGUUCUCCUGCUCAGGGGUUGAGCGCAACCCAACCUUUAUGGGCAAGACUGACAGCUGUGAGUACUUGUUCAGCUGGCAGACUCCCUUUGCCUGUCCCAUGAAGAAGCCUCAUAUUGGUUCAGACUGUAAGGUGCAGGAUCCACUGGCGACCCACGAGUUUGAUCUGAACCCUUUACGAAAGGCAACAGACUAUAAAGUGCCAACACCAGACAACUAUUUAUACAUCUUAAAUGUGUGCGGCCCCUUACAGUCCACCACCGCAUGUGGGGCAGACCAAGUCGGUAUAUGCCAGACCAAGCCCAGUAAUGCAAGUUACAAGGUCAAUGCAGGAAUGCCUUCCUCGGCUCUGCGCUACCAGACAGGGGUGAUCACUCUGAAAUAUCUCAAUGGAAAAUCACCCUGCCAUGGAAAAUACAAUCGCAGCACCAUCAUUACGUUUCUAUGUGACCACUCUACGAAUGGAUCAGCAGGACCGGUCUUUAUUAAGGAGGAAUCCGACUGUACUUACAUGUUUGAGUGGAAAACCAGUCUUGCUUGCCCUCCGUUUAAAGAAGAAGACUGUAGCAUCACUGCCCCAAACCAUAACCAGUAUGAUCUGAGCACGCUCGCCUUGACCAGUGAUAACUAUGACUACCUUGAUUAUAUUCAUAAUAAAAAGUUCAUCAUCAACGUAUGCCGAUCACUCGUCCACAAGAAAGAUCAGACAUGUCCGUACAAUGCCGCUGUAUGUAUGGUUGACCUGACCCAACAAAACGAUACUCUAAGGUUCCACAACCUGGGCGAGGUAAACAAGCACCAGGUGAUCGUAGAUAACGGACAGCUAGAACUCCAUUACACCAAUGGUGAACAGUGUUCCUCGGGCGGCAGAACCUCAACACGUAUCAUCAUGUACUGCGACAAAACAACCCUGUUUUCCCAUCCGGUUGGCCAUUUUACGGUGAACAAUUGCGAGCAUGAAUUUACCUGGAGUACACAGGCUGCAUGUCCCUUAAACACUGACCAAGACAGCGAGCAGACGGGCAACUGUACCGCCAGGAAUCCAGUCACAGGACAUGUAUUUGACCUCAGUUCCCUAAAUAAAGGGACACCUUAUAAAAUUGACGACCAUCGAGGCCACAUCUUCAAACUCAAUGUGUGUGGCAAAGUUACUGGCUCCGGAUGUGCUGGAGUCUCAGUGGGAGCCUGCCAGGAAGAAGUGGCCGGAGACAAGAGGAACUUCAGUAGUGGGCUAUACAACUCCAAGCUACAGUUUGACAAUGGCGUCCUCGUGCUGAACUAUCAUGGUGGUAAAGACUGCCAUAAUAAAAUGUACAAACGCACAACCAUCAUCAACUUUGUCUGCUCCCAGACAGCCGGUGAGGGUAACCCGGUGUUUAUAGAUGAAUCAGAUGACUGCACUUACUAUUUAUCUUGGCAUACCAGCCUCGCAUGUGAAAAAGAGGUGAAAUGUUCUGUUGAUGCUGGAAACAGAACUAUUGACCUUUCACCUCUGGUCAAGCCAACUGGAGAGUACUCAUCUCUGUCCACUAUGAAUGGGAAAGAUGUCUCGUACUACAUUAACAUCUGCCGACCUCUGAACCCGAUCUACGGAACACUUUGUCCCCCACAGGCCAGUGCUUGUAUGCUACAGCCUGGUGGUAGCCCACAGAGUUUGGGGAAAGUAACUGGUCCUCCAGUGCUGGAGAAAGGAACUGGAAAAGUAACCUUAAUUUAUGAAGGAGGAGAUGUGUGCUCGACAAACCAAGCCAAAAAUAUGUCGACUAAAAUUGUGUUCGUAUGCAACCCAGGAGUGUCCAGAUCUGGCCCGGUACUACAGGAAGUGUCGGACUGCCAGUAUGUGUUUGUAUGGGACACCUCUGUUGUCUGUAGUCAAGACGACACCAAUCUACAGCCAGUGGCCAAUCAGGAUUGUUCUUACAAAGACGCUCAAACUGGCAACACCUACAACCUUACAUACUUCAAAACUUUACAGAAAAGAGAACCAAUGAAAAAAAAUGGUUUCUCAUAUUCAAUCAACGUUUGUGAUAAAGUGGAGACAGCAUUACCUGGAUGUGAGACAGCUGGUGUUUGUCGGACCAAUAAUACGAGAGGGGUCUCCUACGGCAGUGUCGCCCACAGAACUGUGUCAAAGACAGGCAAAGUCAUCCAGCUAACAUACACACAGGGCGAUACUUGUGGUGAGAAUAGAAAGCGGGAGAGUGUGAUCACUUUUGACUGUGAUACAUCUGGCAAAGUCGGCCAACCCAAGUAUACCUAUGCCGGUCAGUGUCAGGCCCUGUUUUACUGGCGGACGUGUGUGGUGUGUCCCAAAGUGGCUGAUGCGUGCUCACUUGGCUACAAUUACAAAAGCUAUGAUCUAAGUAUGUUGUCAAGUGAAACUGGUGGCUGGAAUCUCACUGACGCCAAGGGAAACAGAUACUGGAUCAACAUAUGUCAAUCAGUGAACAAUGGCCCCACAGACUCUGAGGAGUGCCCACACAUGGUGGCAGCCUGGCGACAGACUCCCAGUGGACUGGUGGACAGAUUAGGGCUAAUCAGCACACAGAAACUCACCAUGGACACUGAUGAGAAGACACUGAUUCUACAGUACUUCCAGGGUGACACAGCUUGUUCUAACACAAAGCGACGAAGUGACAACUCUCAUGCCCAAACCUUGAUCAAGUUUGUGUGUGGAAAUACUGUCGGAGGCCCGGUUUUCAUUGAAAGGGACAAUCAAGGUGAAUGUGUGUUCGAGUUCCACUGGAAGUCAAAGGUCGCCUGCAGUCUGAUUAGUCAGACAGUCAAAGACAAAGAUGGCGCUGUGAAAGAUCCAGAAACUGGUGGUGUAAUCAACCUAAAUAAACUUGGGUCGUCUAACGUAAGAGUCAGUGACACAAGUUACUAUGAGCUGAACCCCUCCAGUAUAGUGGGUUCGUGUACAGAUUCUGUUGUUUGUCUACACGACACCACAUCUACAGUACAAAAUAUUGGGGCAUAUUCAAAGAGAAAAUUUUCUUUUGAAGAUGGAAUGUUGGAAGCAGAGUAUGAGUCCGAUAAAAUCUGUGUCCAGGACAGGAAGAAAAAUGUCAAGGCCAUUAUAACAUUCCACUGUAAUGACCAAGAGAAUUCCCCAAUACUGUUGUCACGAUCCAAAGAUUGUGUCCACAUGUUCCUGUGGGAAACUCCGGUUGCCUGUCUCCAUCCUAAAGUAGUGAUUGAUGCGCCCAUAGACAGUUCCAAAGCAAAUGCAGCUGCUGCAGCCGCCAGUAAGGGGAAGACGAUCGGUACAGUGAUGGCGGUGUUUAGUAGCGCCAUCCUCGUGUGUGUGCUCCUCAUUGUAUUCCACAAGAAAGAGCGCAGAGACUCCUGCCUUCUGAAGCUCCGUUCUGUGGUGAAGAAGGAUACAGAGUACAGAUAUUCUAUGUUGCCUGAUGCUAUUGGAAAUGAGGAAUAUGAAGACAUUUUAGGAGCAGCUAACAAUACAGCGGAGCCAGACGAACCCAGGGAGGUGAACACCAAUUCAAUUGAGAGUGAACCAAAAGUGGAGAGUUACCAUGAUGACAGUGAUGUAGACCUUCUGGAGUGAAGUUGGACAUUGCUUGGCUUUCUGUGAUAGAUUAAAGAGAGGCCAGAACUCUCUUUUGUGAUAGGUCGUUCAGAGGUCUGAAUUGUUUGUGGUGAUGAAAUUAGACAGAGGUCUGAACUCUGUGUGGUGAUAAAAUCAUACAGAGGUCUGAACUCUGUGUGGUGAUAAAUCACAUUGAAAUCUGAACUCUGUGUGGUGAUGAAAUUAGACAGAGGUCUGAACUUUGUGUGGUGAUGAAAUCAUACAGAGGUCUGAACUCUGUGUUGUGAUAGCUUCCAAACGCCGAUAAUGUUCCUAUCGAAUGUAAUACAUGUAUCACCAUGCUGUUCACUUCUGCUGGCUAAAAAAAUCAUUCAAGUUAACUUAUUACAAGUAUCAAAUUAAUUUAUAAGCCAGAGUUACCUUGAAUACUGCCUUAAAGACCACCUGUCUAUAAAAUACAGAUCAUUUGCUUAUAAAGGCUACCUGUCUUAAAAGUCCACCUGGCUAUAAAGGUCAACUGUCUAUAAAGUCAAACUUUCUACAUAGAAUUGAUUUUCUCUAGCCAUGAGUGGUCUUUGUAAACCUAUUUCAGCGUUGUUGUAAAUUAAUUUAUUCACAAGAUUAAAAUAAACGACACCUAAUAUCCAAAAACAGUCACAUUUUGGUAAUGAAAACAAAGUUAAAGUUUUCAAAAGCAUUUCUUAUAUUGAGUGACUGAUGUUAGAAACAAUUUGCAAAUGCAAAUGCCUAUUACUGUAUUAUGGACAGGGUUUGAGCGACUGGUCUACUGUUUAUAUCCUCAAACUGACCCAUACCCGAAUGGAAAGAAUGGAGAGAUUUGUAUACCUGGUUUAGCUUAUAGAUGUCAUUUUUUUCUGGCAUUGUGAAUCUGAGAGUAAAAGAUUGGAGGAAAGAAGUGAGAGAUUUAUGAAAAAACGGAUAUAUGCAGCUUUGAUAAUGUAAAUGAGGUAGAAUUUCACCUCUGUUUGACAUAUUUUACCCGUUUUGAAGGGAGCAUGAAACCAGGAUGGAGGUGUUUUGAUAUUCUGUGUAGAACAUGUUUAAUAUUUGGAUAUUUUUUCAUAAAAUAGAAAUUUAACAGAUAAACAUUGAUUAAACAGUAAAAAUGUUACAUUGCUAAAUACUAAUUAUGGUGUGGAAAUAUUGUAAAUUAUUAAAUGAGGGAAAUAUUGAUUACACAGUAAAAAUUCAACAUGAUAAACAAAGGUUAAACAGUGAACAUUUAAACAGUAAACAAGGUUCUGUAUAUUUUACAGCAUAUUACUUAAAAUAAACUUUAUAUUUACAUAUCUGGUAAAUCCAAAUCUAUCUACCAAACAAGGUAUUGCAAACCUACUGAAUGUCCAACUUUCAGAACCUCACGAUGUGUGAUCAUGGUCAUUGGGUGAAAGAUGCUUCUAUCAUUUUCCUAUAUAUAUAUUUAUAUUUGUUUUCAUGUUGAUGAGAUGUUAAGGAAUCAUUUAAAUAUUUACAUGGUGUGUGGUAAUAUCAUUCCGUGCUGUUUGGAUUUUCCUGGUUUUAUAAACUUAAUGCUUAAUCCUUUCAUCCCUAUGUAACUUUUGUGGACUCUACUAUGCAUUGAUCUGGAUGAGUCCAUUAUGGUCUACAGUGGUGAAAGGGUUAAAUAUUGAGUUAGUGUGUCUUGUUGAUAAACAUAUCAUUUUGAAUGUAUGAAACUUAAUU